Long non-coding RNA from Diachasmimorpha longicaudata, 2039 nucleotides. RefSeq lists it as uncharacterized. The transcript is spliced from 2 exons. The record is from RefSeq and is a predicted model, not a curated record. NCBI's taxonomy places the organism in Eukaryota, Metazoa, Arthropoda, Insecta, Hymenoptera, Braconidae.
AUGGGCGACCUUACCCACCUCCGUUCUAAAGAGAUCCUUCAGAUCUUGCCACCUGAAGUCAUAGGGAAUGUUCGAUACGUAGAUCCUCCGCUCGGCGAUACGACGGCCGCGGUCGUUCCUCUCACGACUCCGGUCCCGCGAGGUUGAGUUCAUACGCGAUUGACGAUCCGUUCGGCGUGAACGAUCCCGCUCGCGACUUCGCUCGCGGUCGUCAUUUGGAAGGGAACUAUAAGUGUUUGAUGAAAUCAAUGAAGCAAUCGACACAAUUGUAUUUUCUUGAAUAUUCAAUAUCUUCUGAAGCAAUGGUCGAAUGACUGGAAAAAUGUGUUAAAGAUACGCCGGAUAAAUAUUAACAAAUUUCAUCGGAAUAAAUGAAAGGAGUGUGAAUCCAUCGGCGUUAGGAGGUCCAGGGACGCUUGCCAAAUAAAAAGCAGCGGUUAGCGGGCAACUGAAAAAACCUCCGCACUUACUCUUCGGUCUUCAUCCUCAGGUACGUUCACUAACGUAUCGUCUUGUUAAUUUUUAAUUGUUAGAAGUGCUUGACGCACAAAUUAAUAUAGAAACACUCGAGUGAAAACCGAUGUUUUAGACACGAUUAACACUGUUUUACACUGCACUGUACUGAAGGCGUCUUGACAAGAUGGCCGGAACCGGGGUCUGUCGGCCGGAAACUGCAAUCAGGGAGCAAUACUGGAACCACUUGAGUCAAAGGUGUGUUAGCGAGACAUGCUACUGGAUUCGGCGCAAUAGAAUUGAAAUUGUAAUUUGAAGAGAAUGAUCACUUGAUAUCAAGCGUCUAAUAUUUUUUUUAUUGCUCCGAAGGUUUAGAGCAUCUACAGUUAACUAAAGAAAAAGCACUCAUGCAAAAAUAUUUAUCCCAUCCAACUUGAUUCUUAAUUUUAUUCACAGCAGUACAAUCAUCUCUGACAACACAGACUGACGAAACAUAGUAAAUUGAGUAGUUCCUUGGGAAAAAUAAUUAUCUCUCGACUUUUUCUUUACAUAUGAAUAAUUUUAUUUAAUUACAUCAAUCUUCAAAGCGUGGAAUUGAAUUUCUACCUUACUUAUUGUAGUACCUUCAAACUCUCCACUUCUCUACAAGUGAAAUACUAGACAAUUCAAUUCAAUCAAUUAUCAAUUAAAAAUUUCCAUCAGGAUAUCCACAAAUAUUCUUUAUUCAUCGUGAGUAAUUACGCAUACGUUUACUGUUUCAGUUGUUCCUUCCAAUAGAGGAAAGUCAUUCGUAUGAAAAUUCAUUUUCUCUUCAGAUCCUCCUCUCCCCCCUAUUUCACAGAUUGCUAAAAAAAAUGAGAAUAGAACAAUCGAGUGAAGCUAUAAUACAACUGAAUCCUUCUGUGAAAUCGUGAAAAAUAUCUCUAGGAUUGUAAAUACAACAUAGAAUCCCAUGAUGAAAUGAUACAACAGGCUUCGGAAAUUUUCCUUCAAAUUGUUUAAGCCUCUUGCAUCACUUCGUUUUAGAACCAUAGGUAUUCGAUUUAAAUUUUCAUCAUUCAAUCCUAAAAAAUGGUUCGUUUUCUCCAUACCAAUGACACAACUGCGCUCUACAUGAUUUGACAUUGAAUGUUUCCGUAUUUGUGGAUGAAGUUAAGGAAAAAUCAGAAUCUGUUGAAUAAUUGAUCAUCAAUUGGAAUGAAGAAAUUUCCCGUCAAAUCAAGAAGUCAGGGAGAACUUUAUUUAGUUAAAAAAUGAACUAGCGACGUGACGAAAUGAAAAGCAAUUUUUUACAUCAGUUUUUCAUGGAUAUCCCAAAAUUCUAAAGAGAUGGCCGAAUUUUUUAUCAGAAUAUUUUUGUGUCUCAAAAAUUCUCUACAAAAAGGCUUUCACAAAAAUGUCGCUAUCCUGCUCAGACUCAGAGAUAUUCCCGAAAAGUUAACCUUAACUUCUGUUGAAUCCCGGGAAAAACUACUCAACGCAAUUCAGGAACCGCUUUCAUUUUGUUGAUAAUGAAAUGGUCUGAUGUUCGGUGAAAACAAAUUACCUCAAUCGUCGUUUCUCCCAGAGAUUUAUAUGAUUAAAAA